This is a long non-coding RNA of Equus caballus (horse), 1607 nucleotides long. The record is from Ensembl. Lineage: Eukaryota; Metazoa; Chordata; Mammalia; Perissodactyla; Equidae.
CAAAGGCAUACAAAUCAAGUUUCUAGUUGUCAUUGAAGGUGGGAAUGAGGGGUAGGGCUGAAACCAGAGGGAUUGAUUCAAAAUCUUGAUUCCAAACGAUUAGACCCAUAGGUCCCUGCUCUACCCAGCUUAAUCAAAAGUCCAUCUGUAUUAGUUUGCCUGGGCUGCCAUAACAAAGUACCUGUGUUUAACAAAGGUUUAAACAACAAAAAUUUAUUUUCUCACAGUUCUGGAGGCUGGAAGUCCAAGAUCAAGGUUUUGGCAGAGUUGGUUUCUUUCUGAAGUCUCUCUCCUUGGCUUGCAGGUGGCCGUCUUCUUGCUGUGUCCUCACAUGGUCUUUUCACUGGUUUGAGAAGCACUUGUCCAGGGCUUGAAGAUCCAGCCAUGAGUGGAAGCCAUAUCUCCCGGGGGUUCAGGGCAAAGAAGAGUGCUGUAGGUAAACGGUAACCAGUGGACCAGGUCUAUUGUGGCAGAGAUUCUUCUUCACAAUUCACUCAGGAUUAUCGUUGGAUGAAACUAAUAUGAUGAGCAGUUCAUGGGAAACUAGAAUGAGCUAUCAGAUGGUCACCACCUAAAGCCAUUGAUCAAUCUUGGCAUCACUAAAAAGAGAACAACCAGACACUGUGGACCUUCUGAGGGACUGGGUGACCAAGGCUUUGUCACCACCUAUGAGAUGUUAUGGCCUAAAAUAUGAAGCUGACUCCAACCAAGCCUCUGGAAAUAAGGAAGAUCGGGAAACAAGUUGAAUGACACUCCAAGGAGCCAGACAGACAAAUAUAGAAUGUUGACAAGCCUAUGGGAAACAGACUGAAUUACUGCAACAAGUCAAUGAUAUAAAAAUAAAAUUGUGAUGUGGGAGAGGAGAGGACUCUACAUUAAAAUAGAUUUAAAAGGCAAACAACGAAAUGUAGUUUGUAGACCUGGUUUGGAUCUUGAUUUAGACAACUAACUGUUAAAAGACAUUUUUGAGCAAUUGGGGAAGUUUUAUUAUGGACUGGGAUUAGGAGGUGCCAAAGAGUUAUUCUUGAUUUUGUUGGAUAUGAUAAUGGCAUGGUGGUUAUAAAUGAAAAUUGCCACAUUUUAAAAAUGGAACAUGCAAAUAUGUAGAGGUGCAAUGACAUGAUAUGUGAAAUUUCCUUUAAAAUAAUUCAACAAAAGGGAGAAAAAAGAAUAGAUAAAACAAAUGUGGCAAAAUCUUUUAUAAUUAUUGCAUUUAGGUGAAUGGGGAUAUGAGGAGUCAUUGUACUGUUCUCUCCACUUGCUGCAUUUCCUUUUUUUAUAAGCAAACUCUUUUAAAAAAACAACAAAGUUCAGAACUCAAUUUGUUAUUUGUCUAGGCAUUAGGCUACAAGGAGGGGAGUGGACAGAUGGAGGUGGCUAUGGAGGCUUUAGACAAGGCUUUAAGAACCAGCAUGUGUAGGCCAGCCCCGUGGCCAAGUGGUUAAGUUCUCGCGUUCUUCUUCAGCAGCCCAGGGUUUCGCCAGUUCGGAUCCUGGGCACGGACCUAGCACCACUCAUCAAGCCAUGCUGAGGCGGCAUCCCACAUGCCACAACUAGAAAGACCCACAACUAAAAUAUACAACUAUGUACUGGGGGGCUUUGGGGAG